AGGGCACCACCAGGAGUGGAGCCUGCGGCUUAAUUUGACUCAACACGGGGAAACUCACCCGGCCCGGACACCGUAAGGAUUGACAGAUUGAUAGCUUUUUCAUGAUUCGGUGGAUGGUGGUGCAUGGCCGUUCUUAGUUCGUGGAGCGAUUUGUCUGGUUUACUCCGAUAACGAGCGAGACUCUAGCCUACUAAAUAGGUCGCACAUUGUCUCUGUGUGUGUGACUUCUUAGAGGGAUUUUCGGUGUUCAGCCGCACGAAAUUGAGCAAUAACAGGUCUGUGAUGCCCUUAGAUGUCCGGGGCUGCACGCGCGCUACACUGGAAGAAUCACCGUGCUUGUCCUUCCCCGAAAGGGGUUGGUAAACCCGUGAAAAUUUGCCGUGAUUGGGAUUGGAAAUUGCAAUUAUUUUCCAUGAACGAGGAAUUCCAAGUAAGUGCGAGUCAUCAGCUCGCGUUGAUUACGUCCCUGCCCUUUGUACACACCGCCCGUCGCUGCCCGGGACUGAGCCAUUUCAAGAA
Molecule: ribosomal RNA, 519 nt
Filed under: uncultured eukaryote
Lineage: Eukaryota
Description: SSU rRNA
Rfam family: Eukaryotic small subunit ribosomal RNA
Source: RNAcentral